GACGAACGCUGGCGGCGUGCUUAACACAUGCAAGUCGAACGGAAAGGCCCUGCUUUUGUGGGGUGCUCGAGUGGCGAACGGGUGAGUAACACGUGAGUAACCUGCCCUUGACUUUGGGAUAACUUCAGGAAACUGGGGCUAAUACCGGAUAGGAGCUCCCGCUGCAUGGUGGGGGUUGGAAAGUUUCGGCGGUUGGGGAUGGACUCGCGGCUUAUCAGCUUGUUGGUGGGGUAGUGGCUUACCAAGGCUUUGACGGGUAGCCGGCCUGAGAGGGUGACCGGCCACAUUGGGACUGAGAUACGGCCCAAACUCCUACGGGAGGCAGCAGUGGGGAAUAUUGCACAAUGGGCGGAAGCCUGAUGCAGCAACGCCGCGUGCGGGAUGACGGCCUUCGGGUUGUAAACCGCUUUCGCCUGUGACGAAGCGUGAGUGACGGUAAUGGGUAAAGAAGCACCGGCUAACUACGUG
This 468-nucleotide ribosomal RNA is filed under the name uncultured bacterium. RNAcentral's name for it is "partial 16S ribosomal RNA". It matches the Rfam family "Bacterial small subunit ribosomal RNA", at positions 28 to 507 of the family's 1533-position model. The record is from RNAcentral.